GGUGGUUCUCGGGUGACACACCCCAGAAUUGGGCUCCCUCCUCUCUGGUUCUAGGUGUGCCAUCUGAGAACCACA
This is a non-coding RNA of Myotis davidii, 75 nucleotides long. Lineage: Eukaryota; Metazoa; Chordata; Mammalia; Chiroptera; Vespertilionidae. The record is from Rfam.